Phascolarctos cinereus (koala) is the source of this 439-nucleotide non-coding RNA. Lineage: Eukaryota; Metazoa; Chordata; Mammalia; Diprotodontia; Phascolarctidae. The record is from RefSeq and is a predicted model, not a curated record.
GAGGAUGGAACUGUCAACCCAGACCAAAGAGAACUCUCCGCUCCAGAUCACUGUAAUCUUCCCCCAUAUCAUCUAGGGACUGGGGGAGCCCCUUUUAGCCCUAUAAAGCCAUGCUCGCUCUGUGGUUCCAUUUGGAAUUACCACCAAUGGGAAGAUCCUUGGACCAGCCACCCUAGCCCUUGGGAUUCCCAUUCUGCAGCCAGUGCCCACCAAAGCCCAGUCAGUGUCUCCAGUGCAGACCCUGCCCUGCUGCUGCCUUGGCGGUGUGAUGGGGGGCAAGGGAGAGAACUAGCCUCUGCCCUUGGCCAAGAUACACUAACACAGAGGAGUAAUUGAGCUUGAUUCAUCUGCACUGGGAGUGAAAUCAGCCUUGGUCUUCUAAUCUUCUAUCCAUGACAGAGACAUAUGGUAACACCUCAUUUAUCUGCACCAAUAGGGA